GUCGAACGGCAGCGCGGGUGCUUGCACCUGGCGGCGAGUGGCGAACGGGUGAGUAAUGUAUCGGAACGUGCCCAGUAGCGGGGGAUAACUACGCGAAAGCGUGGCUAAUACCGCAUACGCCCUUAGGGGGAAAGGUGGGGAUUCUUCGGAACCUGCCACUAUUGGAGCGGCCGAUAUCGGAUUAGCUAGUUGGUGGGGUAAAGGCCUACCAAGGCGACGAUCCGUAGCUGGUUUGAGAGGACGACCAGCCACACUGGGACUGAGACACGGCCCAGACUCCUACGGGAGGCAGCAGUGGGGAAUUUUGGACAAUGGGGGAAACCCUGAUCCAGCCAUUUCGCGUGUGCGAUGAAGGCCUUCGGGUUGUAAAGCACUUUUGGCGGGGAAGAAAAGCGCCGGGCUAAUACCCUGGCGUGCUGACGGUACCCGCAGAAUAAGCACCGGCUAACUACGUGCCAGCAGCCGCGGUAAUACGUAGGGUGCAAGCGUUAAUCGGAAUUACUGGGCGUAAAGGGUGCGUAGGCGG
This 526-nucleotide ribosomal RNA is filed under the name uncultured Burkholderiales bacterium. RNAcentral's name for it is "bacterial SSU rRNA". It matches the Rfam family "Bacterial small subunit ribosomal RNA", at positions 61 to 578 of the family's 1533-position model. Lineage: Bacteria; Pseudomonadati; Pseudomonadota; Betaproteobacteria; Burkholderiales. The record is from RNAcentral.